This 111-nucleotide transfer RNA is filed under the name Streptomyces eurythermus. Its description in RNAcentral is "tRNA-Arg". Lineage: Bacteria; Bacillati; Actinomycetota; Actinomycetes; Kitasatosporales; Streptomycetaceae. RNAcentral also lists the same sequence under 1 other name. The record is from RNAcentral.
GCCGCCGGUUGGGCAAUACCAAAUGAAAAGAGCUGGUCAGGGCAGGUCUGAAAGCUCAUGCAGGCACGGCCUCCGGAGCCGUGUGCGCAGGUUCGAAUCCUGCCGGGGGCA